AUGAAGAACGUGUCCAACCCCAUCAUCAUCGACCAGUACUACUGCGACCAGCCGACGCCCUGCGCGAACCAGACGGAGGCUGUGGAGGUGCGCAAGGUGGAGUUCGUGGACGUGAGGGGCACGUCGGCGAUGACGCAGGCGAUCAAGAUCACGUGCAGCGACACCGUGCCGUGCCGGGAGCUGGAGCAGAGGAACGUCAACCUCACCAUGGUGGGCGGGGGCGCGGCGACGGCCUCUUGCUACAAGGCGUCAGGCAAGGCCGUCGGAGUAGUCAUCCCGGCCUCCUGCCUCGCCAAGGGUGACCCGUGGCCGUGA
RNAcentral lists this ribosomal RNA (315 nucleotides) under Triticum aestivum (bread wheat). Its description in RNAcentral is "partial small subunit ribosomal RNA". Lineage: Eukaryota; Viridiplantae; Streptophyta; Magnoliopsida; Poales; Poaceae. The record is from RNAcentral.